Molecule: long non-coding RNA, 905 nt
Filed under: Brassica napus (rape)
Lineage: Eukaryota; Viridiplantae; Streptophyta; Magnoliopsida; Brassicales; Brassicaceae
Description: long non-coding RNA (BNAP_LNC012762)
Source: RNAcentral
UCAUUUUCACCAUGGUAUCAACAUUAUACCACUCAGCAAACACAAUUAGACCCAGUCCUGUAUUGAUGACAUCAUAUCUGAGUUUUUCAAUUUCUUCUGGAAAGUAUUCAUCUUCAAGGUCAACCAUCAAAAGAGUUCCAUAUUGCUGAGCAUCGAAACAUGUAAGGGGAGAACCAAGAGUCUCGAUAUAGUACCCAGCAUCACGUAACAUGUUGAACAUGAUGUGAAAGUUUGUAUGCAGGUGAUCACCAUGCCAAUCAAGAAUGUCAUUGCGGACAUCCAGAGAGUCUCUUGGAAUAUACCCUGGAGGAUACUUAAUGCUGUGAAAUUGAUCCCACAAUAUACGUUUCGCUCGUGGUGGGUCAGUAAGAAGCAAAGAAAAGCUGUUUCUCAUUACCUUCGAGGACCCUGUUAGCAGCAGAUUCUGUGUGGCACCACUCUCAGAGCUGUCCAGUAAAGGAAAACUGUGCAUAAACCCACCAGCAGGAAACCUGACAAUGUUCGUUCCAGAAGCAUAUCGACUCUGCUCACCGUCAAUACUGAAAUCCCCAUUCAGAAUCUUGUCUCCAAACGCAAUUCCAAAUGACGCAAGAAGAUUAUUCAGUGCGGGAAUAUUUGCACCUCCGGUGACUGGAGUCCACCAACUGCGUGUGUUAUCGUCGAAGAACCUCAUUUUCACCAUGGUAUCAACAUUAUACCACUCAGCAAACACAAUUAGACCCAGUCCUGUAUUGAUGACAUCAUAUCUGAGUUUUUCAAUUUCUUCUGGAAAGUAUUCAUCUUCAAGGUCAACCAUCAAAAGAGUUCCAUAUUGCUGAGCAUCGAAACAUGUAAGGGGAGAACCAAGAGUCUCGAUAUAGUACCCAGCAUCACGUAACAUGUUGAACAUGAUGUGAAAGUUUGUA